AACGAACGCUGGCGGCAUGCCUAACACAUGCAAGUCGAACGAGACCUUCGGGUCUAGUGGCGCACGGGUGCGUAACGCGUGGGAACCUGCCCUUAGGUUCGGAAUAACUCCCCGAAAGGGGUGCUAAUACCGGAUAAUGUCUUCGGACCAAAGAUUUAUCGCCUUUGGAUGGGCCCGCGUUGGAUUAGCUAGUUGGUAGGGUAAAAGCCUACCAAGGCGACGAUCCAUAGCUGGUCUGAGAGGAUGAUCAGCCACACUGGGACUGAGACACGGCCCAGACUGCUGUGGGAGGCAGGGGAGGGGAAGAGAGGACAGGGGGAGAAAGCCUGACACCGGGAUGCUGCGUGAGGGAUGGCGGCCUUGUGGUUGAAAAGCUCUGGUCCGCGGGAGGAAAAUGGCAGUGCCGGGGGAACAAGCUCCGGAUAACGCCGUGCAGGCAGCCGGGGCAAUGGGUCGGAGCCACGUCUGAAC
RNAcentral lists this ribosomal RNA (471 nucleotides) under uncultured bacterium. RNAcentral's name for it is "partial 16S ribosomal RNA". It matches the Rfam family "Bacterial small subunit ribosomal RNA", at positions 33 to 541 of the family's 1533-position model. The record is from RNAcentral.